GUCUACGGCCAUGCCACCCUGAAUAAGCCCAAUCUCGUCUGAGCUCGGAAGCUAAGCAGGGUCGGGCCUGGUUAGUACUUGAAUGGGAGACCACCUAGGAAGACUAGGUGCUGUAGGCA
RNAcentral lists this ribosomal RNA (119 nucleotides) under Pteropus alecto (black flying fox). Lineage: Eukaryota; Metazoa; Chordata; Mammalia; Chiroptera; Pteropodidae. The record is from RNAcentral.